Molecule: ribosomal RNA, 372 nt
Filed under: uncultured organism
Description: bacterial SSU rRNA
Rfam family: Bacterial small subunit ribosomal RNA
Source: RNAcentral
CGUAGGUGGCAAGCGUUGUCCGGAAUUAUUGGGCGUAAAGCGCGCGCAGGCGGUUCCUUAAGUCUGAUGUGAAAGCCCCCGGCUCAACCGGGGAAGGUCAUUGGAAACUGGGGAACUUGAGUGCAGAAGAGAAGAGCGGAAUUCCACGUGUAGCGGUGAAAUGCGUAGAGAUGUGGAGGAACACCAGUGGCGAAGGCGGCUCUUUGGUCUGUAACUGACGCUGAGGCGCGAAAGCGUGGGGAGCAAACAGGAUUAGAUACCCUGGUAGUCCACGCCGUAAACGAUGAGUGCUAAGUGUUAGAGGGUUUCCGCCCUUUAGUGCUGCAGCUAGCGCAUUAAGCACUCCGCCUGGGGAGUACGGCCGCAAGGCUG